Molecule: small nuclear RNA, 191 nt
Organism: Ursus thibetanus thibetanus
Lineage: Eukaryota; Metazoa; Chordata; Mammalia; Carnivora; Ursidae
Gene: U4
Rfam family: U4 spliceosomal RNA
About the family: U4 small nuclear RNA (U4 snRNA) is a component of the major U2-dependent spliceosome. The structure of U4 snRNA from yeast and human has been reported.
Source: Ensembl
AGCUUUGCGCAGUGGCAGUAUCGUAGCCAAUGAGGUUUAUCCGAGGCCCGAUUAUUGCUAAUUGAAAACAAAGCCAGGAUAGCAACAUCUAACUGCAGAAUCCAGAGGGCGGCGUGUACGGGUGCUCGCGGUUCAAUUCUUUCAACUUCUCUGUAUUUUGCAAUCUCCCAUGAUAAACUUUGGGGAAAGAU